AUGCUAAAAUCAGUAUCCUUUGACCUGUAUGCAAAGCCAGGUAACAACAGGACURUAACUCUGAUGAAUCCCAAGAAGUCUUUUUAUCAGUGGAGGCUGCGAGUUCCUUCUGACUAUGUGGUGAGACUGGUAGUUACUACUUUGCGUGGUGUCACUCCAGGGAGCUGUGCAUCACACCAGUUAUCAGCAUAUGAUUUCCUUCUUCCUCUGCAGAACAAGAUCAUUACAAGAUGGUGUGGGCCUGGGGCCUGGACUCCUCCUGUUGUACGUUUAACUUCAUUGAGUAAUGUAAUGUUGCUUACCUUCUCACUGGACUGAAGAGAAGAAAGGAACGUCCUAAAAGCUCACUUUCAAGCCAUCCCUAAAAUCAGUAAGUGAUGAAUAGAAACAAGUGCCUGAUGUAAGCAAGCUUAUUCCUCUUGUUGCUUCAAAAAAGUUGAUAUUGCCUGAACAUUUUUUUUUCUUUGGGGGAAAAAAUAUUGGUGUAGAAGUCAGGGAAUUCUCAUUCUGAUCCACUUAAAAGAGAUGUCAGAGAACUGAAUAAAGAAUAGAGAAUAUCCUUCUCUUUGGUAGAU
RNAcentral lists this long non-coding RNA (575 nucleotides) under Dromaius novaehollandiae (emu). Its description in RNAcentral is "lncRNA (ENSDNVG00000009339.1)". The record is from RNAcentral. Lineage: Eukaryota; Metazoa; Chordata; Aves; Casuariiformes; Dromaiidae.